GACGAACGCUGGCGGCGUGCUUAACACAUGCAAGUCGAACGCUGAAGCCCUUUCGGGGGUGGAUGAGUGGCGAACGGGUGAGUAACACGUGGGUAAUCUGCCCUGCACUCUGGGAUAAGCCUUGGAAACGGGGUCUAAUACCGGAUAGGACACAUCGCCGCAUGGUGUGUGUGUGGAAAGUUCCGGCGGUGCAGGUUGAGCCCGCGGCCUAUCAGCUUGUUAGUGGGGUGAUGGCCUACCAAGGCGACGACGGGUAGCCGGCCUGAGAGGGUGACCGGCCACCCUGGGACUGAGACACGGCCCAGACUCCUACGGGAGGCAGCAGUGGGGAAUCUUGCGCAAUGGGCGAAAGCCUGACGCAGCAACGCCGCGUGGGGGAUGACGGCCUUCGGGUUGUAAACCUCUUUCGACCGGGACGAAGGGUGACUGACGGUACCGGUAGAAGAAGCACCGGCUAACUACGUGCCAGCCGCCGCCGUAA
Molecule: ribosomal RNA, 481 nt
Filed under: uncultured bacterium
Lineage: Bacteria
Description: partial 16S ribosomal RNA
Rfam family: Bacterial small subunit ribosomal RNA
Source: RNAcentral